RNAcentral lists this ribosomal RNA (495 nucleotides) under uncultured bacterium. RNAcentral's name for it is "partial 16S ribosomal RNA". It matches the Rfam family "Bacterial small subunit ribosomal RNA", at positions 29 to 507 of the family's 1533-position model. The record is from RNAcentral.
AUGAACGCUGGCGGCGUGCCUAAUACAUGCAAGUCGAGCGAACGGACGAGAAGCUUGCUUCUCUGAUGUUAGCGGCGGACGGGUGAGUAACACGUGGAUAACCUACCUAUAAGACUGGGAUAACUUCGGGAAACCGGAGCUAAUACCGGAUAAUAUUUUGAACCGCAUGGUUCAAAAGUGAAAGACGGUCUUGCUGUCACUUAUAGAUGGAUCCGCGCUGCAUUAGCUAGUUGGUAAGGUAACGGCUUACCAAGGCAACGAUGCAUAGCCGACCUGAGAGGGUGAUCGGCCACACUGGAACUGAGACACGGUCCAGACUCCUACGGAGGCAGCAGUAGGGAAUCUUCCGCAAUGGGCGAAAGCCUGACGGAGCAACGCCGCGUGAGUGAUGAAGGUCUUCGGAUCGUAAAACUCUGUUAUUAGGGAAGAACAUAUGUGUAAGUAACUGUGCACAUCUUGACGGUACCUAAUCAGAAAGCCACGGCUAACUACGUG